This 253-nucleotide ribosomal RNA is filed under the name uncultured bacterium. RNAcentral's name for it is "partial 16S ribosomal RNA". It matches the Rfam family "Bacterial small subunit ribosomal RNA", at positions 524 to 776 of the family's 1533-position model. The record is from RNAcentral.
UACGGAGGGUGCUAGCGUUGUUCGGAAUUACUGGGCGUAAAGGGCGCGUAGGCGGCCGUUUGCGUCGGAUGUGAAAGCCCGGGGCUCAACCUCGGAACGGCGUUCGAUACGGGACGGCUAGAGACCGGGAGAGGAGAGUGGAAUAGCCAGUGUAGAGGUGAAAUUCGUAGAUAUUGGCUGGAACACCGGUGGCGAAAGCGGCUCUCUGGCCCGGUUCUGACGCUGAGGCGCGAAAGCGUGGGGAGCAAACAGG